Non-coding RNA from Heterocephalus glaber (naked mole-rat), 886 nucleotides. The record is from RefSeq and is a predicted model, not a curated record. Lineage: Eukaryota; Metazoa; Chordata; Mammalia; Rodentia; Bathyergidae.
GGCCUGUGGGACCAACCCGCUCCGUGACCGCAUCAAUCCCUUCCUAAGGGGAAAAGGCUGCCAUCAUCUCCGCCCAGGCCCAGCUCACAGAAAGCCACCUCUCAGUCCUGCUGUGUGGGGACCACAGGGAGCCGUGGGAGGUGAACUCCAGCCAGCCACACCCCGCACCAUCUUUACAGAUGAGGACACAGUGUCCUUCUACGAAACCCCUGAGUUUCAGCCUGCGUGGUACCAUUUUGGCUCAUGUGGGCACAGCUGUUUCAAGGCCGUACUUAUUUCUGGUCAGAAGAAAUGUGUCACAGUUAGACAGCGGCAGAGCCAUCGUGGGUGUCCCCAGCACAAUUCAUCCUCCACAAAUCCCCUGCCCCAGGCUCGUUGCUGCUCGGUAGCUUGAUCUCCACCCGGACCUGCUCCGUGUUUCCAAAUUAUUUCCAAAUAUCACUGUUCAGCACGGUUGUUGUCUACUGGGAAGAGACCUCGUAAAGGGCGAGGCUGCUGUCCACAAAAACCUGGGAUUUCCCAGAGAGGAGGCCACAUGGCCCUGGGCCAGCCCAAACAGUGUCCGGCAUUCCUGAAGUCGUCUGUCCGGCAGUGGAAGUUCCUUCUCCCAUGCCAUUUCUGCCUUGGAGCCUGAGACCAUGGACUGCAUCUUCUGAAAUGUGAUGAAGGCUUAAGAAUCCCAGUCAUCAGAAAAGAAAGCUUAAUCCAAAGAGCUUCCUACAAUGUGAGACAAAAGGAGAGAGUCCAGGAGACCAUGGAGAGGGCUGCAGGACAAGGGUUGACUCUCACGAGGACCUAAGUACUAAAGGGCGUUACCAGAGCCUCACUCUGCGGGGCUCAGAUUGACAAUGAUUAAAUACGCCUUGCCUGUUCUUAUAGGAAUCAA